GUCGUUUUUGGUCCGAGCUGCGGUAUGCGUUGCGUUGGCUCCGGCGGCAGCGAUCGGGUUCCCGUGGCCCGCUCUUGUAGCGGGGGACGGUGGUUGCGGUUGGCAACUGAGUCUUCUACCGAAGAUUAUGUUGAGAGGGUAAUUGCCCUCUAUUUCGUUGGCCCUUAAGGCUCAACAAUAUGAUUAUAUCAAUGCACGUUUUACGACUCGUGUCGGAGUU
This 220-nucleotide long non-coding RNA is filed under the name Drosophila guanche. The record is from RNAcentral. Lineage: Eukaryota; Metazoa; Arthropoda; Insecta; Diptera; Drosophilidae.